This 253-nucleotide unclassified non-coding RNA is filed under the name uncultured Pirellulaceae bacterium. RNAcentral's name for it is "contains 16S-23S intergenic spacer region". It matches the Rfam family "Bacterial small subunit ribosomal RNA", at positions 524 to 776 of the family's 1533-position model. The record is from RNAcentral. Lineage: Bacteria; Pseudomonadati; Planctomycetota; Planctomycetia; Pirellulales; Pirellulaceae.
GACGAACCGGACAAACGUUAUUCGGAAUUACUGGGCUUAAAGAGUGCGUAGGCGGCUUGGCAAGUUGGGUGUGAAAUCCCUCGGCUCAACCGAGGAACUGCGCCCAAAACUGCUUGGCUUGAGGAAGAUAGGGGUGAGCGGAACAGAUGGUGGAGCGGUGAAAUGCGUUGAUAUCAUCUGGAACACCGGUGGCGAAGGCGGCUCACUGGAUCUUUUCUGACGCUGAGGCACGAAAGCUAGGGUAGCGAACGGG